AAUGAGGAUUAUAAUUAAGCUUUUAACCAUCAUGUAGAAAAUGCUGAAAUGCCAAAGUACAUUCUUGUGAUUACAGAUCAAAGUACAAUUGAAACACGAAAAUACACGAGUUAAAUGACUCAAAUGCACUAGAAAGUUUUUUCCUUUAUCGGUAAAGGUAUUGAGAAAAAAAGUAUACACUAAAUAAAUACAGUAAAGCACAAACAGGAUAAUAAAAAACAGCGGUAGUAGACACACACCCUUAGGAUAGUAUUCAUAUUCUUUCUCUUCUGAAAAGUAAAAGUUUUAUGAAAACCCAUAUUUCUUUUAAAGAAAUAAACUUUUAUAAUAAAUAAAAGUGGACUUUAUUAUCAAAUAAAAGGGAAAAUCAAAUUCACAUAAAAAUACAAGAAACAGAGAUCUGGUCUCUGAAUCUCUUAAAGGACCCAGAAACUCCUCAUUAUUAUAAUAGGGAUAAUAACAAGGACACUUCCUUAGAAGAAGUAUUAGUUAUAGAAAAUCAAAAUCUAUUGUUAGAAUUCUACAAAGAAAAUCUAUCUUUUCUUGAUUAUUGUAUGAAGUUCUGUCAAGACCAACUUGACAAAAUAACCCCCCAUAUUACAUCAUGAAUUCUGAAAAACAGAAUGUUUUAAAUAGUAUAAAUAUGCCAGCAGAAGCAACCAAGAUGGCUAAAGUAGAAAGCGAUUUACAAAAUUGGAAUAUUCCAAAGGAACCAUUCCGAGCAAUAUAUAAUACAUCAAAGUUUGAUUUUGUAAAAAAUUACAAUAUUAAAACUUGUGAAUCCACAGUUGCUAUUAAUAGCUCAGAAGAGACUAUUAAGUUGUUAUCUUCUUAGGAUAUAAAUAGAUAUCAGAAGAAUUACAAUUUCCUUCAUAUAGGACUUGUACAAGUUGCUGUCAAAUACAGAUUAGGUUUAGACACACCUUGAUGUCUCUUAUUAAGAGAUGGCAGACUGUUAAACUUUGAAGAUUCAUUAUUAGGAGUUUUACUAGGCAAACUAGCUAAUGGUCUAGUUUACUUUAACUACUAUCCAAACCAUUCGGUUGAAAUCAAUGAUUAGAAUAUAUUGGAUACACAAACUCUUAAGAUUAAAACAAAAUAAAUUGCUGUAAUAUAUCGUGUAUAUUACAAACUAAUUAAAACAACUUUAGCUCCAAAAAUUAAAAUGAUAAGUCAAAAAGGGGUUACUAUGAACAUGGAAGCAAAUCAAGCCCAUAGUAAUACCUUUGUACCAAGAAUGCUUAAAUGGAAUGAAAUCUUAUCAAAAAAUGAUUGGCAUUUUGAGGCCAUUACUUAACCAAAAGCUGAACCUGAAAGUUCUGCCAUAGACCAUGUCAUCCAAAA
Long non-coding RNA from Lycium ferocissimum, 1344 nucleotides. RefSeq lists it as uncharacterized. The transcript has 2 exons. The record is from RefSeq and is a predicted model, not a curated record. NCBI's taxonomy places the organism in Eukaryota, Viridiplantae, Streptophyta, Magnoliopsida, Solanales, Solanaceae.